UACAGAGGGGGCAAGCGUUGUUCGGAAUUACUGGGCGUAAAGUGCGCGUAGGCGGCCUUCUAAGUCGAACGUGAAAUCCCCGGGCUCAACCCGGGAACUGCGUCCGAGACUGGAAGGCUUGAAUCCGGGAGAGGGAUGUGGAAUUCCAGGUGUAGCGGUGAAAUGCGUAGAUAUCUGGAGGAACAUCGGUGGCGAAGGCGGCAUCCUGGACCGGUAUUGACGCUGAGGCGCGAAAGCCAGGGGAGCAAACGGG
This 253-nucleotide ribosomal RNA is filed under the name uncultured bacterium. RNAcentral describes it as "partial 16S ribosomal RNA". It matches the Rfam family "Bacterial small subunit ribosomal RNA", at positions 524 to 776 of the family's 1533-position model. The record is from RNAcentral.